ACAAUUUUAAUUAAAGAGAAGUCAGAGAGGUAAUUAGAGCAGACAGAGGGAAUGGACCAGAGCCACAUUAAUCACAAAAUGGUAGUUUCACAAGCCCCAGGGGCCUCUAGUGUUGUCCUGAAUCCAGUAUAGCUCCAGUCCCAGGCUCACCAAGACCCAGAAGCACUUUGUUUUCUGUUCCUGGUUUUCCCUGAGAUUUGCCUUCAUGUGAAUCUCUACGUAAACUCUCUUGAUCUGAACUCUCUGCUCCUUAUUACCAAGCUCCACAUCAAAACCACUAUGUAGUUAGUAGUGGAACCACAUUUAUCUGACUCAAAGUCCAUGGACUUUCACAGCCUUCCAUCUGGACCAAGGAGAACAGUGCGUCUAGCCUGAUAUUUUGUGAUUAUAGUCCCAGGUGCAUUUGAAAGUGGAAAGGGGCCAAGGUGGAUGGGAUGUGCAGCCAAGUUUAACAAAUGCUAAGUGGACACAGCACAUUAUCGGUAACACAAGUAUCUUAACACAGGAGAAACACUAAAGGUGAAGAGAGUUUCCUUGAAGUGAGGGUCCCUUUACCCUGGGCUCAGACUGGAGGAGCUCUGCUCAAGGAGUACUUGUGGGUCAUCUCAAGUCUUGGAGAAAG
RNAcentral lists this long non-coding RNA (622 nucleotides) under Homo sapiens (human). RNAcentral describes it as "HSALNT0113537". Lineage: Eukaryota; Metazoa; Chordata; Mammalia; Primates; Hominidae. The record is from RNAcentral.